RNAcentral lists this ribosomal RNA (253 nucleotides) under uncultured bacterium. RNAcentral's name for it is "partial 16S ribosomal RNA". It matches the Rfam family "Bacterial small subunit ribosomal RNA", at positions 524 to 776 of the family's 1533-position model. The record is from RNAcentral.
AACGUAGGAGGCGAGCGUUACUCGGAUUCACUGGGCGUAAAGGGUGCGCAGGCGGUGAUGUAUGUCAGGUGUGAAAUCCCGGGGCUUAACUCCGGAAGUGCGCCUGAAACUGCAUUACUAGAGGCUUGGAGGGGACAGCAGAAUUUCUGGUGUAGCGGUGAAAUGCGUAGAUAUCAGAAGGAAUACCAAUGGCGAAGGCAGCUGUCUGGACAAGAUCUGACACUCAUGCACGAAAGCGUGGGGAGCAAACAGG